UAGGGAAUCUUCCGCAAUGGACGAAAGUCUGACGGAGCAACGCCGCGUGAGUGAUGAAGGUUUUCGGAUCGUAAAGCUCUGUUGCCAGGGAAGAACGUCUUCUGGAGUAACUGCCAGGAGAGUGACGGUACCUGAGAAGAAAGCCCCGGCUAACUACGUGCCAGCAGCCGCGGUAAUACGUAGGGGGCAAGCGUUGUCCGGAAUUAUUGGGCGUAAAGCGCGCGCAGGCGGCUGUUUAAGUCUGGUGUAUAAUCCUGGGGCUCAACUCCGGGUCGCACUGGAA
This 283-nucleotide ribosomal RNA is filed under the name uncultured Paenibacillus sp. RNAcentral describes it as "partial 16S ribosomal RNA". It matches the Rfam family "Bacterial small subunit ribosomal RNA", at positions 355 to 631 of the family's 1533-position model. Lineage: Bacteria; Bacillati; Bacillota; Bacilli; Caryophanales; Paenibacillaceae. The record is from RNAcentral.